Haemorhous mexicanus (house finch) is the source of this 5700-nucleotide long non-coding RNA. RefSeq lists it as uncharacterized. The record is from RefSeq and is a predicted model, not a curated record. The transcript has 2 exons. NCBI's taxonomy places the organism in Eukaryota, Metazoa, Chordata, Aves, Passeriformes, Fringillidae.
ACCAAAUGUGAUACUUAGGGACCUUCAUUAAGUGUUUUAGUGUUAACCAACACAUCUUUAACAUAAAAAUAAAAUAAAGUGUGGUAUCUCCUGCAUCUAUGCACAGACUGAACUUAUGUGGAAGUAUUUUAAGGCAUGGAGUAGUGCUAUAAUUUUGCUAAGGUUACACAAAGAAUCGGGGAUUUUCCCAGCUAUCCUGUUUUUAUCUGAUUGUUGGCCAUAUGAUUAUAUUUUCCAGCUGUCAUCACUAUUUUUAAAUAGGCAUUUUGGAACCUGCCUCUGCUCUGUGAAUCAAAAUACUUGUCUAAGACUGUUUAGAUGUUGAUCAGUCAUGAAGUUAGGGACAUGAAUUCAGGAUGUUUCUCUUUACUUUCUUCUUCCAUGAGACAAGGUAGUAGUUUAGAACUGGCAGCUGUUGACCAGGCAAAGUGAUGAUCCCUUCUGUUAUAGAUGCAUAAUUAUUUGUGCGACACAACUCACUGGAAAUCCUUGCCAAUCAUGGCAGUUUUUUUUCUUCAUAGCUGAAUCCCUCCUCUAAUGAAAACCAGAACUUAACCCAGCAUUCUUUAUUUGCUUGUUGCUCUCUCUCUGCUGAUCUCUCUGUUCUGCUCUUUUUGAGGCUUGCUGUUUUUGCUGGGGGGGGCUGGUUAGCCUGCUCCACCUGAAAUUCCACAUCCUUUCUUUUUCUGAAUCUGAGACUUGUUGCAGAAAUCAGCAACCACACAGGCAGCCAGCUACAGACUCUCACCAGAAUCUGAAUCAGAAGCUUCUGUUCUGAUUAAGGUUGGAGUCAUAGCUUCAUCUUUUUGCACUGUACCAAAAACUAAAUUAUUUUACAGAAAGGCUAUUCCCAUACUCUUCAAGUAUAUUGAACUUACUUCAGGGAACCCACCACAAAGUUAAUUAGCAAGGAUUGGUUGUAGCCCAACUUUUUUAUCAUAGUUUAAGACAUGCCAUGUUUUCCUACCUUUAAUACCAUUUUCUUGCCAGGAUGUUGCACAUCUUUCAGCUGCCAUGGCUUUAAGUUAUUACUUGGCACUUUCUGAUCUUUAAAUGCUCUUCAAAAGGUUUAACCAUUUUUACUCAUGGCUUUCAUAGGAAGCAAUGAACUUUAAAACAAUGAAGUUUAUGGGAAUCCCUCAAAUUAAUUCUAUUGUUUUGGUAGACAUCUAAUUGUUCAGUCUCUCUAGGGAGAAUAAGACAAGUGUCACUGACAAAAUAACUGAGCUCUCAAAGAAAGGAAUGACUUUUUGUGUUCUGUUUUUUUUUUAAUGAAGAAAGUUUAUUGCAGGUCUUUCUUUUACAAUUCUAGUAGAAAGUAUAGCUAAGAGAAAAAAUGAACUAUGACCAAUUCAUAAGAACGAGCAAAGGAAAAGGAUUAAGCUGAAUACAUACUCUAUUGAACUAAGCAUUAUGGUAAAGAGAAAACCUCGUCUGUUUUGUGACUGCAGAUUAAGGAGAGCUGCUUCCCAAUCCUGGUUUCCAGUGCUUGCACCAGGUAGUCUUACCCUGGAGAAAGGUGUGGAUGGGACACUUGUGGUUAGGAUAGAAAAUGGCAAAGCAAAAAGACUUCCUUCACUCCAGUCUUUGUAACAAAUAAAUGUCCACUGCUCAUGUUUACAUCCCAAGUUACUUUAUUUAAAUUCAUAUUAUCUAAACACUACCCUGCCUGCAAGUCAGAUAACAAACUUGAUGGAAAACAACCAUCCUUCCCUCUCUAUCUUCAAAUGUUUGUCUCAUGAUAUUUUACAGUUAGUCCACUAAAAAAUUCUUUGAAAAUUUGCCUCUUCAAGUUUAGUAGAAACUUGACUGAAAAUAGAGGCAUUGGAAUAGAAGGCAAAUAGAAGUUUUCUUCCCUUGUCUGCCUCUCCCACUUUUCUGAAAAUUCCCAUCAGAAGAACAGAACAGGGCCUGCUGGUGGACGUGAGGCCAGGUAUCUGUUCCCCACCUCACUGCUCAUAUAAAAAUAUGGUUAGCUACACCAUAAGUUAGUCUAUCUAGAGCCCAAGGCUGUGUGAAAUAGAGUUAAUUAUUGACACAGAGAACUUAAAAAACCACCUAGCAUUCCUGGAGUCUUUCCCCUACUGCUGUUCCCAAGAUGUGGCUCAUUUUCCCCCUGUGAGAGAGAAGAUGAGACCUGUCUGGGGCUUUCAUGAGAGGUGCACACAAACUGAAAACAGUCAUGGGAAAUGAAGAAAUCUGUGGCCAGAGUGUGGGGAGCUUCAGUUGGAUUUGUUUUCCCCAGUCCUACGCACCAGGCUGAUCCCCAGCAAGCUCAGGAGAAGGCAGCGUGGGGGACCAGAGUGGCUCAGGAGCAGCAGGGAGGAGGGGCUCGGACCCAGCCUCACGAGGAUCAGCAGCUGCAGCAGCAAUUGCAGAAAUUUUCUCCAUUCCAGCUCUACCAGAGUCCUGACAGCGCUUGCUGCAGAAAAUCUGACUCUCUUUAUCUAGAGCUGUGUUCUACAAACAAACAAAACAAACCCAAGGCAAAACAUGAAACAACAGUUAAAUACAGCCCUGUCUUAAGGCUUAAAACAAUCUACAAGACAUAAACUGCAUGCAAUACAGCCAGGUUAAAAAAGGAGAAAUAACAUUAGAAAUCUUUAAUAAAAUGAAUUGUAUAAUUUUGUGAUGCUGACUUUAGGAAAUGCAAGGAAAACUUCUCUUCCAGAUGUAUGCUUGCCAUGACAUUGCAGGUUUAAAAUUUGUCUUGCAAGUCUGAUGUGGAAAAAAAGAUGGCACAAGUGGUUGUGAUAGUGAAGGAACUUGUCAUAGUAACUAUCAGCAAAAUUUAUGUGCCUGUGCUUCUGCAGACACAAGGAGUCAGUUGAUGCUUACUGAGAACUCAGUGCUACAAUUCCUGUAAAAAACUACAUGGUACAAAAGGGGAGCCCCUGGGAGGGUGACAGAACUUUUUUUUUAUUUUUUCAAGAAAAGGGCCUGCAUUUCUGCUUAGUGGUGAGAGUAGGAAAAUGACCUCUCAUGGUUGCAAAAAAGGCAUAAUUUCUGAAUUCUGCACUUAAAAAUGAGUUUACAGGAGAAGGGAGCAACAGGUUGUAAUGGAAACUGAGAAUUGCAGAGUGAAUAGGUUGAUUAUCUGGAGUAUGUGGUACAUCUGUUGAAGACAACAUUUUCCAUACCUUCAAAGAUAUGUGCUAAUUGUAAAGGUCAGGUGCUUUACCUUUUCCUCAAAAAUUUAUUCCUUUGAUUGGGCUUGCUUUACUAAUGUGAAAAUUUAUGUGGUUUUGGUUGUGUUUGACCAAUACACUAUUCACUGAAGUAUUUAAUACUGAAAUAAUUUUCUGACACAAGUCAAAUUUAGCAGGGUUCAUUUUUUUUCAGAUGUGUUUAUUGUAUCAAAGUCAUCAAGGACAGCAGAUACAAGGUACUUGCCCUCUUUUUUGUUGUUGUUGUUAACUCGUUACAUCACUAGCCACCCUGCAUAGUGAGGUACAAGGAGAAAAUUCCAUACUCCACAACUGAGUUUCUACUACUGACACACUGAAAAGGGAGCAUGCAAGGAAAGGAGCAGCAGAAUUGGGUCUGAGCUUUUGAGAUUAGUGAUGGUCUAAAGGAGUUUUAUCAUUAUCAAGGCACCAUUGCAUUGCCUUUUUUCUUGCUGGAAAAAGUUGUAAAUAGGGGUUUCUGCUAUUUCAGUGGCAGGUAAAGUUAUUUAAAAGGAGAAGGACAUGCUUUCAGUUCAUGCUGACAGUGAUUUUUCUCCUGUGUUGUCCUCAUAGCAGCAAUACAGCUCUAUGUAAUGUAUCUUAGGGUUUUCUUUUUUAAUUUUACUGUUGCUAAGCAUCAAUGUUUUUUAUUUAUCUAGGACUGAUUAUCACUUGUCUGGCUCUAAAAGAAGUGUCAAUUUUAAAUAGAAACACUGUUUAGUUCUUUGCUUCUGUCUUCAAAAGGUUCUCAUCCUUUUCUAGCUGUUUUUAGAUACAAGAUGGAUAUAGACAUGCACAAAGUGGCUGCUGGGAGAAUAAACCAAGACAUGUCUGAGGAAGUAAAAAAUUGUUGUAUUGGUGUUUGCUAAGCCUAUUUCAGAUAUGCAUUGCUCAAGACAGAACCAUGUUUUCCUAAGUGUUUAAAAGGUAUUCCUUUGCUGGUUUGGUGUGGCUGUACAGCUUUUUCCACUUCAGACUGGCUUAGUUAUUUCUCCUUUCUUGUUACAAAUGGAGAUCAUGUACUUUUUGUGCAGCAGAACAAAGCAUCGCCGUUAGUACGUACCAUUGCCUUGGACCUACUCAGAGGAAAGCAAUGCAGGCAUUGGGAAAGGAGGAAAAAAGGAAGAAAGCAAGGGACAGAAACUAGACUUACUUUAAGCAGAACUAACACAAUUGCAACAAAUUCAGAUUUACAGAACAUUUCUUAAUUGACCAAAAAAAAUCAGUACUGAAUUAAGAGCAACAUGCUUUUGGGGGCAGCAGGAGCCUCCUGUGCAAGGACACUGAACUUGGGGAUGUGCAGUUUUACUUAUCUGCCACAGGAUGGUAUUAUCUGCAUGGGCCAGGUGACAGUGUUGGAAUGAGGUGAUGCUAAAGGGGCUCCAGUGAAUGUGCAGGUGGACUGAGAGCAAUGCACUGCAAUACACGAGAGUUACAAAGUGGGCUUGUCUGAAGCUGAAUGUUGGUAAGCAAUGAGUGCUGGAGCAAGUGAAGAACUUCUGAACACAAAGAUAACUGAAUUUCAAUGCUCAAGGUAAACCAGGGCAAGAAUAACAAAUUGGGGGCUUAAUCCUCAUUAGAUCACAGUGUUUUGAACAAGAUUUUAUUUUUCCUUUCAGCAUUAACUGGGAGCUGCAUUCAGCAAUUAAUAAGCAUUUACAUCCUUCCAUACCUGUUAGAAGGAAAUAAAGCAGGAAAAGGUAAAAUGAGGUGAACUUUCCUGGCUGAAGGAGUGUCAGUAGCUAACAGAAAAAACUCAAAUCAAUAGGAAGCCAAAGCUACACUGUGUCAGAGAUCUGAGACAGGCUUAAGUGGCAUGCAAGUUGGAGAGGGGCUGAGAGUUAGAAUUAAAAUUGCUCUUAUUACGUAUAGUGCAUUUUAUACCAGUUUUCAGCUUCAGGCUUAUCCAUAGUCUCAACAGUAUAAUGAAUGAAACUCUGAAGUCCCUCUCAAACUGUCAAGUCAAACUGUCAAAUGAAAUGUAGACAAGAGCAUGAACCUGAAAUCCAUUUCCUGACUUAUUUUUAUGUUAGCACUUUUCCUACAUUUAAAUUGUUUGCCUAUUUAACUCACAUAAGUGUAUUUGCAAAGACAGAGAUGUAGGCAAAAACAUUUUAUUUAAAUGUACUGGUUCUCGGAUAAUUAAAACAAUUAUUCUUGUUAACAUAAGUGGUCUGGUCUUUGAAAAUAAUUAACACUAAUUAAUGCUAAAGGGAGGGUGAGGGUGGAAGUCCCUGUUACAUUACCAUGGAUGGUUUUACUUUCUUUCUUUUUACUGAAGAUACAUUUUGUGUACAGUGUCCAUCCUUGCGUCAGACAAGGAAGGGCCCUAGUAAGAUCAGGAAGAAAGGAAGUUUCUGGAAUAGAGCUUGGUUUCCUGGCACAGGUAGUGUUGAACAACACUAUGCUCAAGAUGAAGCAAUACUUGGUCAGGCACAGAGGUAGACUGUACUUAACUACAUGGGCAAUAAGAUAAAAAAACUGUUUUUAUAAUGAAAGAUUUCAAAUUGUUAAUAAACUUCAUUUUAACAUA